UACGGAGGAUGCGAGCGUUAUCCGGAUUUAUUGGGUUUAAAGGGUGCGUAGGCGGACGCUUAAGUCAGCGGUAAAAUUGCGGGGCUCAACCUCGUCGAGCCGUUGAAACUAGGUGCCUUGAGUGGGCGAGAAGUACGCGGAAUGCGUGGUGUAGCGGUGAAAUGCAUAGAUAUCACGCAGAACUCCGAUUGCGAAGGCAGCGUACCGGCGCCCAACUGACGCUGAAGCACGAAGGCGUGGGUAUCGAACAGG
This 252-nucleotide ribosomal RNA is filed under the name uncultured bacterium. RNAcentral describes it as "partial 16S ribosomal RNA". It matches the Rfam family "Bacterial small subunit ribosomal RNA", at positions 524 to 776 of the family's 1533-position model. The record is from RNAcentral.